This is a long non-coding RNA of Clarias gariepinus (North African catfish), 753 nucleotides long. RefSeq lists it as uncharacterized. NCBI's taxonomy places the organism in Eukaryota, Metazoa, Chordata, Actinopteri, Siluriformes, Clariidae. The transcript has 4 exons. The record is from RefSeq and is a predicted model, not a curated record.
CUUUAUCACUGACUUGUCAUCAGUGCAUUUCUUCAUCUGGAAAGAAGAAACCGAUAACUUGUGCAAAUCAGUGUCUUACUGCCACCAUUUCUGUGGAUCGAUGGGGUAUAAAAUCUUCAAAUGCUGAUACGAAGACUUGCAGCACACUUGCGCAGAUGCAUGUUAAUGGGAGCAUGAACCUGGGAGAGAUGAAAAUUACCGUCAAUGCCAAAUGUUGCAAAGCUAUUGAAUGUAUUACAAAAACAACCUCAGAGACAAAGUCAGAGAAAAACGUUAUGAACAAUAACAAAAAGUGCUAUACCUGUAAAGGUCACAGCUGCUUAGAAACUCGAAUGAGCUGUAAAGGAAAUGAAGAUCGCUGCAUUACAGCAUCAGUUAAACGAGGAAGUGAAACUCUUCUCAUGAAAGGAUGCAUAUCCAACAGCCUAUGUACUGCUGCUGGAUAUAGAACAGCAAUUGGUGCAACAAGUUUAAAGUGUUGUCAGGGAAACUUGUGUAAUGGUGUGGAGAGGUUCACGCUGAGUUUGAUUCUCAUGAUCGUCCCUCUCCUCUCCUCUUUCCUUCUUUACUGAAAUAUCCUUUGAUGGAGCAGCUCACUUAAAGAAAAUCCCUAUUUUUAUUUAUUGUAUUUUUGUGGCGUAUAUACUGUGGUAUAUACUUAAAUAGCAUAUUCAUGCACUAUUCAUGAUAAUUCUUUAAAAGAAACCACCUAAUACUGUAUGAUCUGUAAAAAAUCUUAUUAAAAUAUAAAAA